AAGCGUAACAAGGUCUCCGUUGGUGAACCAGCGGAGGGAUCAUUGCUGGAACGCGCCCCAGGCGCACCCAGAAACCCUUUGUGAACUUAUACCUUACUGUUGCCUCGGCGCAUGCCGGCCCCCCUGGGGGCCCCUCCUUCGGGAGGAGCAGGCACGCCGGCGGCCAACCUAACUCUUGUUUUUACACUGAAACUCUGAGAAUAAAACAUAAAUGAAUCAAAACUUUCAACAACGGAUCUCUUGGUUCUGGCAUCGAUGAAGAACGCAGCGAAAUGCGAUAAGUAAUGUGAAUUGCAGAAUUCAGUGAAUCAUCGAAUCUUUGAACGCACAUUGCGCCCUCUGGUAUUCCGGAGGGCAUGCCUGUUCGAGCGUCAUUUCAACCCUCAAGCCUGGCUUGGUGAUGGGGCACUGCUUUUACCCAAGAAGCAGGCCCUGAAAUUCAGUGGCGAGCUCGCCAGGACCCCGAGCGCAGUAGUUAAACCCUCGCUCUGGAAGGCCCUGGCGGUGCCCUGCCGUUAAACCCCCAACUUCUGAAAAUUGACCUCGGAUCACUAGAAU
This 558-nucleotide ribosomal RNA is filed under the name Phomopsis sp. G18B. RNAcentral's name for it is "eukaryotic LSU rRNA". The stretch from base 221 to 374 matches the Rfam family "5.8S ribosomal RNA". Lineage: Eukaryota; Fungi; Ascomycota; Sordariomycetes; Diaporthales; Diaporthaceae. The record is from RNAcentral.